Suncus etruscus (white-toothed pygmy shrew) is the source of this 102-nucleotide small nuclear RNA. NCBI's taxonomy places the organism in Eukaryota, Metazoa, Chordata, Mammalia, Eulipotyphla, Soricidae. The record is from RefSeq and is a predicted model, not a curated record.
GUGCUCGCUUCGGCAGCACAUAUACUAAAACUGGAAGGUAUACAGAGAAGAUUAGCAUGGCCCCUGCACAAGGAUGACACGCUUGAAGCGUUUCAUAUUAGA